UUUUCUCAAAUUUUGUCUCAAAACACCCCUUAGGGUUUCAAAAUAAAAAUCUCAAUAACUCAAGAUUCAACCAUGGGUUUUCAAAACAAAUAGAAGAUUUGAAAUCCCCGCAACGUAGGCUUCAAGAAGCACCUAUCACAUUCGCAUAUAGAGGUACGUGGGUUAUCUAAAAAAUCUCAUGGGCUUAAAAAUUCAUAUUUUAAAAAUGGGGGUUUUGAAAUUAUGAAUAUAAACAUGUUUCAAGCAUCUUUAUGGUAUUGAUUUGGUCUUUACGCCUAUUUCCGAAGUGAUUUGAUAUAUUAUAUAUGCAUAUUCUUGUGAUUCAAAAGAUGUUAACUUGAGAGCAUGCAUUAUAUGAAACCCCUCUCUUGAUAUGAAAUUGUUUGAAAUUUUCAUAUGAUGUGAAUUGUUUGAAAUCAUCUUGACAAGCAUGACAUGAACUAUUUUGAAAGUGGAUAUGAUUUUUGACUUGCAAGGAGAGGGUUAUUAUGUUGAAAUAUGAUGAAUAUAAUAGUUGCAUGAAAGAAUAAUGUGAUAUUGAUGACUUGCAAGUCGGGUAUGAUGAUACCCUACAGAAUAUGAUAUGUGAUUGAAUUAGAUGAAAUUUGAAUGCAUUGAUUUUACAUGAGAUAGGUGGAUGCCCGAAGAAGGCGUUUGAGUGUAAGGGCUCAUCGUUGGAAACCGUGUUUGCCGACAUGGAAACUUGGUACCAUGCUUUGUGAUCUUGCGUACCUAACUUUAUGUCAUUACCAAAAUGAGACUAUGGUUAGGAGCCCUGGUUUGUGAUCUUGUGCACUACCAUUGGGUCGUGUGAUCUUGUGUGUCUUCCCCUCACUUAUACUCUAAUCUCGGCAGUAACCGAUAUUUGACAGUUGGUGUAAAUGUGAUAUGUAGGGUAUUCCACCUAGCUCUGCUGCAUUGCGUUGUUGUUGUAAACAAUUACAUUACGCCCAUGUGUUUUCAAAUGAUUUUAUAUGAAACUACUUUAUAAUGACUUUCAACAAUAUUUUGUAAAAAUAUUAUGUUUUGUUUUGAUAUCUCUAUGUACCAGUACUUUUGUAUUGACCCCCUUCCCUCCCAGGUUUUAGAGGCACAGUCUAGGGGUCUAGAAAAUCAGUAGAUUUCCUCAGAUAGAUUCGCAGAGUCACUUGGUGAACCUUCUAUAUUUUUGAAGGCCUGAUAUCUGGCAGUUUCAUUUAUCAUUUAUUAGUUUUGGGUCUACUGUGGGCCUUGUCCCAGUUUUCAGAUAGAUAUUUAUUUUAGUCAUGUAGUAGAGAUUUCGCAGACGUAAUAGAGAUGUUGAUUGAGAUUGUGGGACAUUAUUCCCCAUUAUUGUUUUCAUAUAAUUCUUGACCAUGUUUCCGUUAUAUAGUGUAUCUUCCGCAUU
RNAcentral lists this long non-coding RNA (1387 nucleotides) under Capsicum annuum. Its description in RNAcentral is "long non-coding RNA (CANN_LNC007500)". The record is from RNAcentral. Lineage: Eukaryota; Viridiplantae; Streptophyta; Magnoliopsida; Solanales; Solanaceae.